AUACGGAGGAUGCGAGCGUUAUCCGGAUUUAUUGGGUUUAAAGGGAGCGUAGGUGGGAUAUUAAGUCAGCUGUGAAAGUUUGGGGCUCAACCGUAAAAUUGCAGUUGAAACUGGCAGUCUUGAGUACAGUAGAGGUGGGCGGAAUUCGUGGUGUAGCGGUGAAAUGCUUAGAUAUCACGAAGAACUCCGAUUGCGAAGGCAGCUCACUAGACUGCAACUGACACUGAUGCUCGAAAGUGUGGGUAUCAAACAGGAUUAGAUACCCUGGUAGUCCACACAGUAAACGAUGAAUACUCGCUGUUUGCGAUAUACAGUAAGCGGCCAAGCGAAAGCAUUAAGUAUUCCACCUGGGGAGUACGCCGGCAACGGUGAAACUCAAAUGAAUUGACGGGG
RNAcentral lists this ribosomal RNA (393 nucleotides) under uncultured bacterium. RNAcentral describes it as "partial 16S ribosomal RNA". It matches the Rfam family "Bacterial small subunit ribosomal RNA", at positions 523 to 918 of the family's 1533-position model. The record is from RNAcentral.